CACCGGGCCGGGGUGACCGGGGCGGGUUUGGGGACACCGCAAAACCGGAGGAGACCGUAAUGGUCCCGGCGCCUAGGAGAGAAGGAGGUAUGCGCACCGAGCCCAGAGCCCUUUGCCUCGACGAAGCCUUUCUGCAGCCAGCGAGAGCAGCGUGUUGGGAAACUGAGGCUGGGCAAGGCGGAGCGGCUCGUGCAAGGUCAGGGGGUUCUGGGGCGGAUGCUGCCACGUCUGGUCUGUACUUUGUGUUCCCUCCAGCCCAAGGCGGUGUUGAAGGUGAAGGCGCGUGGUGGGGAGCUGAGGAGCUCAGAUUUAGGGGGCUGGCUUCCGGAGCCCCUCGAGAAGGGAAGGGGUCCCGCGUAGGGUGUUGGGGACUUGGAUUGCCACGGGGGCGGGGUCACGGGAAAGCUGGGCGAGUUCUUCUGCAGAAGCACUUGACCAAGUUUGUAUGAAACAACUUUGCUCCGCUUGUUAAGGCCGCAGAGAGCAGAGGCUGAUACUGCGCCGGCAGUCUUGCAGCCUUCUGCCAAACCAAGUAUGGCAGGAUUUGUUUCUGUGCUUGCGCGGAGUUUAAAGCUAAGCAGCUCGCAGUCUUUAAUCCAGAUUAACUGUUGCUUCUUGGAUUAGAAAGCCCGAGUCGACUUAACUUCUUUUUUUUUUUUUCCCUGAUUGCGAAAGUUAAAAUCUUAUUGUAGGAGCGCUAGAGAAUUUGAAGGAUUUUCUCGGGAUUCAUAUUCAUUCAUUCUCAUUCAUAGCCCUCCCCAUUUUUUUCUCUCUGUUUUUCCCUCUUUUCCUCUCCUUUCUUUCUUUGAGACAGCGUGCCAAGUAUCCCCAGGCAGGCCUUGAAUUUCUGAUCCUCCUUUCUCCACCUACCAUGUGCUAGGAUUUCAGGUGUGUACCACAGGCUCGGCGCAACAGUCCUGCAUGCAUGAGAGAGUGUGUGUUUAUUACUCCCAAGACUUCAUGAAUGCAUGCAACACUCUACCAACUGAACUAUAACCAUGUUGUCUUUCUUCCUUUUCUUGUGCACAAGUAUGCACAUGCAUUUGUUUUUGUUUUUUAUCAAAAACAUGAAACAAUGUAGCAUUCUUUAGGUUUCCUACAGUUUUCCUGAAGAUGCUUGUACGUUGCAUGUAUAGGUAUUUGGUGUAAACUAGAUCUGCCUUGAUAGGUCGGACCACGGAAGGAAUUUCAUAAACCCACCCUAUUCUGUUAUGAAAUUCCUCAUACAGAGUUCAUACAGAGUUGCAAGAGGACUGGUUAGUGACAGUUGCAUGUUCUCUGUGACUUAUAGAAUAUGAUAAUGCCUACCUCAUUACCAUUGGUAGACUUUCUGUAGAUAUAAUAAACAUAAGCCUACAACCUCAUAAGGUAUUUAGGUGGUGGCAUCUCACCAUUCAACUUAAGAGGUGCCACAGAGCCUACUUCCCUCUGUCAGGUGGUGGUUUUGGGUUGCCACCUGAAGGUCCUCUACACUGGAAAAACAGCCUUCCUGCUCCUGAAUGGGGAAGGUCUCCGUGGAGCUCAGGGAGAGGGGGGCUUGGGAGAAGCAGAUGGCAUCUACAGAACAAAUUAAAGAACUAUGGACUCUGUGAUAGACAAGCUAGCAGAAGAUGGAGAAGUGUCUGGAUUUCCUCUGCAGAAUGUCAGCUAUUUCUGUUGUAACAUUCCCCUUCCUGAAGUCUAAAAACACUUAAUGCAAAUUCAAGGCUGUUCUGUGUGUUCUUGCUUCACUGUUAGCUUUUGCAUUUCUGUUCCCAAAAGAGGUGGAAAAGAAACCCAAGGGUCUGAGGAACUAUUUCAAUCCUACCUCAUCUAAAUGCUGACAGAAGGUUUUUAGACACUCACAUCUGCGAUUGUUUGGGGGUAGGGACAUUUUUCCCCCUCGGUUUUAAACUUACAGCUACUCUAAAUCUCAGGAUUUUUUCUGUAAAAAGUAGCUAGUUUAUUUGCAUAAAUGAGCGAAUAAAAUUGAUUUAAACUAAGAUGUCUCAGUAAAGUCAUUUAAAUUUUGCAUCAAGCUCAAUUCUCAUGUGCCCCCCCCCCCAACACAUACACACUUAAAAGAACUGGAGAGAUUCACUCAAAAGUCAAAACAGAGCUGCCAGUCAGUGGCGAAGCAAAUAUCUCCUGACUGAUUCUGCCAUGGAUCUUUUCUCGAGUAAUGGGGAGAAUAAACUGUUUUGAUGGUUCUGAUACACAGUUUUGAAAUCUAAACACAUCAGCCUUUGCUCUCACGUGUUGGAGCAUGUUCUUUGCCCCUUACCCCAAGCCCCUCGUCCUCAAUACGUGUAUUAGCUUUGCCAGUUUUCUGUUCGUGUUUGUAACUAAAAAUGGCAGUGUGACCUAGGUAAGUAAAUUAGGUGUAAGUAUGUUAACUUCCAAAAGAUAACAAAAAGGAAGUCCAAUAGAUUAUUUUUGUGUGAUAAUGAGUGGUUUGUUUGUUUUUGGUUUUUUUUUUUUUGGUUUUGGUUUUGGUUUUAGUUUUCAAGACAGGGUUUCUCUGUGUAGCCCUGGCUGUCCUGGAACUCACUAUGUAGGUAGGCUGGCAUUGAACUCAGAAAUCCUCCUGCCUCUGUCUCCUGAGUACUGGGAUUAAAAGCUUGCACCAACACAUUCAGCUUUAAUUUUCAACUUUGUAAUUUUUUUUAUAUUUAAUUAUCUUGUAUUUUAUGUGUAUGGGAGUUUCUGUUAUGUAUGUCAUGUGGAUGCCUGCUGCCCACAGAGAUCUGCGGAGGGCAUCAGGCUCCUCUGGAACUGGAAUUAGUUGUGAAUGUCUAUUAGCCUCUGGGUGGGUGCUGGAAACUGAACCCCCGUCCUCUACAAGAGCAACAAGUGCUUUAUUCACUUAGCUAUUGUUCCAGCCUCUCCUCCACGUCCAUCUCUUCUGAGGCAGAGUCUCUCAUUGGUCAGCAGCUUACCCAUUAGUUUGGGCUGCCUGGCCAGCAAGCCCCAGUGUCCUCCUGUCUCUACCUCCACACCACUGGGAUCCCAAGGAUCUAAAUGACAUUUUAGGACUGGUAAAGCAAGCACCUUUCCGACUGAGCUAGUUCCCCAGCCUCUGGGGAAUUUCUUCUUAAACAUAGCUCUUUAAAAUACAAUUUGAAUUUCUUUCACAUAUUUGUAUAACAUUUACAGUGACGACAGCCUACAGCUUCACAGUUUCUGUGACUUAAAUAUUUAUAGAAAGUACUUUAAAAGUGAAACCUUUAGAAGUACAUGCAUGAAAUAGAGAAAUACAAAUUAUAAGAUCUUGCUGGACCUGAUGGCACAGCCCUGUGAUGCGUGCUCCUUGGGAGGCUGAGGCAGAAGCACUUUAAGAAUAAGAUCAUCCUCGGCUACAGAGCAAGUUUCAGGUCCAGCCAGGGCAACUUAGUGAGACCCCGUCUCGCAAUUAAGAAGUAAACACAGAUAGAGCUGGGAUUAUACCUCAGUGGCAGGGUACUUGCCUAACAAAUGUCUGGGUUUGGUCCCCAGUACUGGGGAAAAUAAGUAGUAUAUACAAGCACACAUACAUACACACAUAUUAAAGUCUUUAUGUUCAUAUUACUGUGCAGUCAGUCAGACUCUCUCUGGUCUGCCUCUGUCACUUUCUGCAAUCUGCUUGGCUCUCUUGUUUACCCAGUCCCAGCUUUGGAUCAGGUCUCUUUACCUUUUGAAGACAUGGUUAUAACUUUCCUGUUUGUCAUAUCUGUGGUCCUUCCCAUCUCUUACGUCCUAGCCUGUCCUUUGUACAGUAUCACUGUGUCACUUGAGAGAAAUCCCAUCUCCCUUUCUUGUUUAAAAAAAAUCCUCAGCUGGGGAGAUGGUUUGUUGAAUAAUGUGCCUGUUGUGCAAGCGUGAGGACUGCAGUUCGAAUCCUUAGAACCCAAAGCUGUGCAGCUUAGCACCCAGGAGACAGAAACACAGGGUCCCCAAGGCGAGCUGGCUAAAUAGAUUGAGCUCCGGGUCUAGCCAAAGAUCCUGCCUAAACAGAGUGGCGAACAAUUACAGAAGACAUUCAGUGUCAACUUUAAGCCUCCACAAGCAUGCCCAUACAUGUCACCUGCACCCGCACACACAUAGACACAUGAAAAAGAAAUAAAAAAUGACCCUACAGAAAACCAUUGGCUUCGUUUACCCAGAACCAGUGCCUAAACCACUCAUCAUAGUAGUAAACAGUGGCUCUCAUUUGACUGUUGUGAGAGGGAAGCUGGGUCAAGUUUUGUGUUCUGUCUGAAAAUUUCCCAUUUUAUGUUCUACUAGGACCACUGAAUUUAAAAGUGAUUUAGAAUAACUUCAUCACAAAAUGUUCUUUUUUCCCCUGAGAUUUGACACUUAGAGAAAGUGUCCAUUUUUUACCCUAUGGCUUUCCACAGCUCCUGUUCUCUUGUUGUUAUUUUGUUUUAUUAUUUUUAGUUUAGUGUAUGUUUGCUUGCCUGUAUCUAUGUGUACUGUGUACGUUCCUGGUGCCCAUGGAGGCCAGAAAGAGGUGUUGGAAUGCCAGGAACUGAAGUUAUAGGCAGCGAGUUGGAAGCUGCCCUGAGGGCACCAAAAACCAAACCCAAGUUCUCUGUGAGAGCACCCAAUGUUUAUAGCUGCCGGGCCAUCCCUCCAUCCUCCUAGGCAUGACCUCUGAGUAGUUUGACAUGAUACGAUGGAAAUCUAAGAUUUAUGACUCCCCCCCCCCCCCCCCCCCCCCCGCCUAACCCACCACUCCGGAUGUCUUCUGUAGAUCCAUCCAUUCCCAAUAGUCUUGCCCUGGAUUCUAGGCAACCAUUCAUAACUCCAAUCCCUUAUACCCACUUUUGGCCUAGUCAGGCAUAAGGCAUGCACUUGGUACAUGCAUGCAUGCACACACAAACACAGGCAAACACACAAAUACAGUAAAAAACUUAAGUAUUUAAAAAAUAUUUUAUUUCUCUAAGUUACAUAUUCAUUGUUUGUUAUCCUUUUCUGAUGUCAUUAAGCAGAGUUAACUUGUCAGUUCUGGCUGCUUGGUGUUCAUUACUGCAUUCCCAGUGUAACAAGGCCACUGAGAACUGUGAAAGAGACAUACUUCUGGAUUUCUGGGACACCAUAGCCUCCUCAAGUUUUGAGUGUUGGCAGAAAUUCUCAAAAAGUGUUUCAGAAAUGCUAUUCUGUGCUGUUGAAGCCGAAUUCUACAAGACUAUUUGGAGGCCUGCAUCAGUGGUCUGUUAAGUGCAUGUACCAAAAGCAUCACAUAAUUGAGAGAGCACACCCCAGGUGAUCUAGAGAGCAUGCCCCAGGUGAUCUGGAGAGAGCAUGCCCCAGGUGAUCUAGAGAGAGCAUGCCCCAGGUGAUCUAGAGAGCAUGCCCCAGGUGAUCUAGAGAGAGCAUGCCCCAAGUGAUCUAGAGAGAGCAUGCCCCAGGUGAUCUAGAGAGCAUGCCCCAGGUGAUCUAGAGAGAGCAUGCCCCAAGUGAUCUAGAGAGAGCAUACCCCAGGUGAUCUAGAGAGAGCAUGCCCCAGGUGAUCUAGAGAGCAUGCCCCAGGUGAUCUAGAGAGAGCAUGCCCCAGGUGAUCUAGAGAGAGCAUGCCCCAGGUGAUCUAGAGAGCAUGCCCCAGGUGAUCUAGAGAGAGCAUGCCCCAGGUGAUCUAGAGAGAGCAUGCCCCAGGUGAUCUAGAGAGCAUGCCCCAGGUGAUCUAGAGAGAGCAUGCCCCAGGUGAUCUAGAGAGCAUGCCCCAGGUGAUCUAGAGAGAGCAUGCCCCAGGUGAUCUACAGAGCAUGUCCCAGGUGCUCUACAGAGCAUGCCUCAGGUGAUCUAGAGAGCAUUCCUCAGGUGAUCUAGAGAGCAUGCCCCAGGUGAUCUAGAGAGCAUUCCUCAGGUGAUCUAGAGAGCAUGCCCCAGGUGAUCUACAGAGCAUGCCCCAGGUGAUCUACAGAGCAUGCCCCAGGUGCUCUACAGAGCAUGCCCCAGGUGAUCUAGAGAGCAUGCCCCAGGUGAUCUAGAGAACAUGCCCCAGGUGAUCUACAGAGCAUGCCCCAGGUGCUCUACAGAGCAUGCCCCAGGUGAUCUAGAGAGCAUGCCCCAGGUGAUCUAGAGAACAUGCCCCAGGUGCUCUACAGAGCAUGCCCCAGGUGCUCUACAGAGCAUGCCCCAGGUGAUCUAGAGAGCAUGCCCCAGGUGAUCUAGAGAACAUGCCCCAGGUGAUCUACAGAGCAUGCCCCAGGUGCUCUACAGAGCAUGCCCCAGGUGAUCUACAGAGCAUGCCCCAGGUGAUCUAAAGAGAGCAUGCCCCAGGUGAUCUACAGAGCAUGCCCCAGGUGCUCUACAGAGCAUGCCCCAGGUGAUCUAGAGAGCAUGCCCCAGGUGAUCUAGAGAACAUGCCCCAGGUGAUCUACAGAGCAUGCCCCAGGUGCUCUACAGAGCAUGCCCCAGGUGAUCUAGAGAGCAUGCCCCAGGUGAUCUAGAGAACAUGCCCCAGGUGAUCUAGAGAACAUGCCCCAGGUGCUCUAGAGAGCAUGCUCCUGUUACUGAAUAGGUUAAUUCUUAUACAUACCUCAGGUGAUCUACAGAGCAUGCCCCAGGUGAUCUAGAGAGCAUGCCCCAGGUGAUCUACAGAGCAUGCCCCAGGUGAUCUAGAGAACAUGCCCCAGGUGAUCUACUGAGCAUGCCCCAAGUGAUCUAGAGAGCAUGCCCCAGGUGAUCUACCGAGCAUGCCCCAAGUGAUCUAGAGAGCAUGUUUCAGGUGAUCUAGAGAGCAUGCUCCAGGUGAUCUACUGAGCAUGCCCCAAGUGAUCUAGAGAGCAUGCCCCAGGUGAUCUACAGAGCAUGCCCCAGGUGAUCUAGAGAGCAUUCCUCAGGUGAUCUAGAGAGCAUUCCUCAGGUGAUCUAGAGAACAUGCCCCAGGUGAUCUACUGAGCAUGCCCCAAGUGAUCUAGAGAGCAUGCCCCAGGUGAUCUACCGAGCAUGCCCCAAGUGAUCUAGAGAGCAUGUUUCAGGUGAUCUAGAGAGCAUGCUCCAGGUGAUCUAGAGAGCAUGCUCCUGUUACUGAAUAGGUUAAUUCUUACACAUGGCUGUUCACAGUUGCAUCCCAUCUUUUCCAUAGAAGGAAUAUGUUGGGAGAUGUUUAGUUUUGCAUGUCCGAGUUUUAACAUCUGUUUAAAUUUGCCUGCUCUCAGUGGGUAGGAUUACACAGUCACACAAUACCAUCUAAGCAGCUUUGUGCAGCAGCCGGCUUUCAGCCGCCAAUCACAGGUGUGCCUGUGUCUGAGGGCAGACCUCCAGAAGGGUAAUGAGUUACAGGGAGUUGUCUCUAACAGGAGACUGGGAAAAUAGGGGAAGAUAAAUAAACUCAACCCUGGUUGGGGUGAUGGUGUACCAAGGGGUGCCUGCUGCUAGCCCACCAGGACUGCCCCCCCCCUAUAGUUAUGAUUGGCUGUCUUUAGCAUGGUGGAAAGAGGCAAGCUAAAAAGUGCUAAAACUCUUAGAAAAAAAGAAAUGAAGGGAGAAUGAAAGGAAGGAAGAGGGAAAGGAAGGAAGGAAGGAGGGAAGGAAGGAAGGAGAGAAGGAAAGAAGGAAGGAGGGAAGGAAGGAAGGAAGGAGAGAAGGAAAGAAGGAAGGAGGGAAGGAAGGAGGGAGGGAUGGAAAGAAGGAGGGAAAGAGGCAAGCCAGAGUGCUAAACUCUUAGAACAAAAGAAAUGAAGGGAGAAGGAAAGGAAGGAAGAGGGAAAGGAAGAAGGAAGGAAGGAGGGAAGGAAGGAGACAAGGAAGGAAGGAAGGGCAUACAGUGGAUACAUUUGGUUACUUUUGUUGCCUACACAUGGUGGCCUUACUUGGAAGGGGUGGUGUGUACCAGGAGGGGAAGUAGGAGGCAAGUGGGGAGACAGACUUCCUAGAACACUUGGUGCUCUCUCUUCCUUUUGGUGCUGAUUAAUGGUUACCUGCAGGAUUGCCAUGAGGGGCUGGGCACUUGUUCUUCAGAUCUGCUCUCCACCUUUCUAACCACUCUCGGGGGUCUAGCCUGUGCUCAGGCUGGCUGAUUGCACUGACAGGGUUUUCUGUAAUCUGGCUGCCUCUCUCUGGAAUCAUCAGGAGAUAGGCUUACCUGACUGUACAGAGGGCUGACUGUGUCAGUUGUUUCCUACCCAGUGGCUUUCCAGUAUAGUAACAUACUGGGGACAUCAGACCAUUCCUUCUGUCACCUUAGACUCAGGUGUUGGGAACCAUGGCUAGCCACAGGAUUUCUUUAAUCCUUUGUAGGUUGUCUCUUUAAAAAUAUCUCCCAACAAAGUGAGUUCCAGGACAGCCAGGGCUAUAGGGCUAUACAGAGAAACCCUGUCUCGAAAAACCAAAAAAAAAAACAAAAAAAAAAAAACAAAAAACAAAAAACAAAACAAAAACAAACAAAAAAAACCAACCAACAACAACAACAACAACAAAACUCUGCAGUUAUUUACAUUUUGUUUUUAUCAGUGUAUAUUCAUUGAACCAAAUAAUUGCCCAUCAUCCUUCCCCACUUGUCCCGCCCACUGGCCCCUUCCUCUUCCCAAUAGGCCCCCAUCCCCUAUGUCUUAUACAUGUCACUCACUUUUCAAUGCACUGUUUUGGUUUUGUUUUGUUACCGAGAAGCGGAUGCUAUUGCCUAUAAUGUGAUGAGACCUCCUUCUCCUUGCCUCUCUAAGCAGCACCCAGCUGUCCCUCUCACAGUGGUAUGGAUCCUGACAAAAGCCCUAGGACCUGCUCCUUCCCCUCUGCCUGAGGACCUGAUUACAAACAGGCAGUAACUGGGCCUCAGCCCAUCUCGGUCCAGUAGUGCCCUCCCCAGAUCGUUCAGCAGGGUACAACAUAGAAGCCAGGCUGCCGAGGUGGCUCAGUAGGCAAAGAUGUUUGCGCCUAAGCCUGAGAUGCACAUGGUGGAAGGGAAGAACGGAUUCCUCUAAGUUGUGCAUGUGUGCACAUGUAUGCAUGAACACACACACAGAGAGAGAGAGAGAGAGAGAGAGAGAGAGAGAGAGAGAGAGAGAGAGAGAAGCUAAGAGAGAGAAUAAACAAAUGUAAUAAAAAUUAAAAAACUAAAGAAGCCAUGGGGGAUUGUUUGUUAAGGAAAAUAAUCUUUUAUCUCCCUAUCCUCCCCCCUCCCCCCAGCACAAGUUACAGAAAUGUCCUGUAGAGGACAGCGUGGAUGACAGGAAGACUGACAGGACUCUGAGAAGCUAAGCUGGAGUCCUUAAGGACCCUGUAGCUGACCUUCCCUCCCUCCCUCCCCCUCCCCCCGGGUAUCAUUAUCUGAGUCUGUUCCUGUUGUUGUUUCAGUCCUUAGUUCUUAGAAAUGUGUGUGUGUGUGUGUGUGUGUGUGUGCAUGCGUGAGGGCAUACACGCAUGGAAAUGAAUAUGUGUUUGCGUGGGUAUAAGAGAGCAACUACUACUCUGCCUCUUGAGACAGAGUGUUUCAUUGGCUUACCAACUGGGCUAGACUGGCCGGCCGGCCAGUGAGCCUCAGGGAAUCCACCUGUGUCCACUUCCCUAGUGCUGGGAUUACAAACACAGGCCACCACACCUGGCUUCUUUAUGUGCAUUCUAAGGAUUAAGUUUAGGUCUUUGUGCUUGCAAGGCAAGUGCGUUUACCGACUGAGCCCCUCCCCAACACCUCCUCAAAUUGGUUCUUGCUUCAAGUAGUAACCUAACAAAGAAGUUUAAUAAAAUAUAAAGUCUCAGCAUUUGCAUCCUUUGGUGUUGUAGAAGACAUCUCUCAUUUACACAGGGGAUUCUAGCCACACUAUUAAAAAGUUUUUAUUUUUUAUUAUGUAUAGGUGUGUGUGUGUGUGUGUGUGUGUGAGAGAGAGAGAGAGAGAGAGAGAGAGAGAGAGAGAGAGAGAGAGAGAAAGACUGCAGGUGCUGCAGGCCAAAGGCUUUAGAUCCCCCAGAGCUACAGUUACAUGCAGAACGUUGUAAGUUGCUUCAUGUGGGUCCUGGGAACUGAACUCUGGUCCUCUGGAAGAGCAGAAAGUGAUUUUCAUCGCUGUGUCAUCCCAUUAGUGAUAACAACAGUAAAGAUGAAUUAUUAUUGUUUAUGUGCAUGUGGAGGUCAGAGGAUGGCUUUUGUGACAUCAGCUCACUCCUCCUACCUUCCCCAGCAUCGGGCACUUAAGUACCUUUCCCCACUAAGCCAUCUUGUCAUGAUUCUAGUACAUUUUCAACACCUUUUGUUUCACAGGAGGAGUCUAAUCACACCCCAGACAAUUUCCUUUAUUUUAAACGUUUUAAUUAUGAUAAACUGUAUAAAAUUUGUUUCCUUUGAAUAGUGACCAUUGAUCCCUUUUUGACUAAUAACUUGCAUUCCUUCUGAUCACUGGUCUUCAGGGCAUGAUUCCCCGUUUCCCGGUCAUCUUAGUUACUUCCUCUGAGUGCACACCGUCAUCCCUUUGUCAUGGUAUCUUUUAAAAUAUGGCUCCCCAGCCUGAGUCUAUCUAGUAGAAGGAUUGAGAAGUCCUCAAAGACCUCUUUCCUCUGGGUAUCUGUGAUAACAGUAGGUUAAAAAAAAAUUGUGUGCUUACCAUUGACUGGAUCAUAGAUUACAUAGUUUAAAAUGCCAUUUCAAGGCUACACAGUCAACACUUCUUACUCCCGUUUUAUUGAUAGGAAAACAAAUAGAAAAGUAACCUUGAAUAAGUUGCCAGAGACCACUGAGCUAGUUAGGCAUAGAGUGGAGAACUAACGUCUUGGUUGAUUCCAAAGCUCAUGUUCUUAUCUCACCCAGGGCUACACCCACAAACCCUCUCCCACACACUCUAUUGUGUCUCAAAGGACAGGGAUAUUGAUAUCAUAUUGACCUCUUUGUCGACACUGUUUAACCCAGAAGCCAGCGAGAGAUGGCAGAGCAGAAAGGGUGUGCCUGCUUGCUUUAUCUGAAGUGCUGUUCAUGUGCUUGACAAGCUCACCCAGGGCUGGAGGAAGACAUGAUACAGAGGGUGACUGUAUUAGCUCUUGGCAGUGAAAUUAUCCCAUUAUAUCUUCUCUCCAGAAAGUGCUAUUAUUCAUAGCCACAGAAGUCCACCUAUAAUUUCAAGGGGUUACGGGUUUCUUGUGGCUUUAUUCCUGAUCUCACGAGAGGACGGUAGACCGGGUUGAAACAUGCUGUGGUCGGGUCAGUGCUAUUCUGAUGAUGCUUCUGGCAUCACUUAAGUCUAGACGGAGUUCUGGCUUGGCUGUAGGCUACCUCCCAUGGGCUUAUGUCUUUGAACACUUGAUCCUCUGACCUCAGGCUGCUGUUUUGGAAGGCUCUGCAACCUUUAGGAGACGGAGUCUCUCUAGAGAAUUGGUCACUAGGAGUGGACCUUAGAGUUUAUGGUUUUUAGAUACCAGACUGCUUUAGUGCCUAGUAUCUGCCACUGCUUUUCCUUCUCCAGCAUGACCUGUACCCUAAGUCAUGAGCCAUGGGAAGCACUAUUUCCCUUAAGUUGUGUCUUGUCAGGUAUUUGGUCACAGCAGUGGGGGAAGUGACAAUGUGGUGGCCCAGAGCCACUGUGCUUCCUUUCCCUGCUCUUUUACCUUUUGUUGUUGUUUGUUGUUGUUUCAAGGUAAGAUUUCUCUGUGCAGCCCUGGCUGUCCUAGAACUUGCUCUGUACUCCAGACUGGCCUCUAACUCCACCUGCCUCUGCUUCCCAGGUGCUGAGAUUAAAGGGGUGUGCCACCAUUGCCUGGCACUAUCUUUUACUUUAAAAAAUAAAUAGUUUCACUGAGUAGCUCAGGCUGGCCUCAGAUUUCGAGCCUUCCCACUUGAGCCUCCAGAGUGCUGGCAUUAAGAGCCUGUGCCACCACCCCUGGCGCAGCUCCUGGGCAGCUCCUAGAGAAGAGCUUUCAUUGUGAACCUCGGUGAACCACAUCUGUGUGCUGUGGAGAUGGUGUUUCAUCUGGGCGAUGAUGUAGCUUGGACUCCUUGAUACUCUUUUCGAGACUGUCAGCCACGAAGCACUUCACGUUUGCUGUUACAGCCUAUCACUCUCAGGGACUGCAGUUGGCACUGACGUUUGCCAAAGUUUUCUUUUAAGAGAACUUUCUUUUGGGCUGGGUGUCAUGGCACACACCUGUAAGCCCAGAAUUCAGAAGGUUGAGGAAGAAGAGGCCUGGCUGGGGCUACAUACAUGAAAACGUAUCAGAUAAGAUGAAGCAAGGCAGUGAGGAGCUAGGGAGAGGAGAUGGCUCACUCUGCGUACUUCUUGCCAUGUAACUGUGAGAACCCAAGGCUCAGAGUUCGGUACCCACAUAGGAAGCUGGAUGUGGUGUGCACCUGCGGUCCUAGUGCUGAGGAGGUAGAGAUGGGGGGACGGACCCUUGGGGUCUAGCUGAAGGAAGUGGCAGUUUUACUGGGAGACACUGCCAAAAUAGAACAAGAUAAGAUAAGAUAAAAUGGAAAGUAAUGGAGGAACACACCUGUGGUCAUCCCUCUGCCUCCACAUGCAUGCAUUUGCACACCUGCCCACAUACAUGCGUACACACAUUGAUACCUCAACACACAUGUGUACCUGCAUACAUAUAUUUAUACAUUCAUACACAUAUGUUCCUACCUGUGCACACAUUCACAUAUACAGUCACCCCUGAACAUAUACAUACAUACACACAUUCACACGUUCACAGAUUGACCAAAGUUAGUUUCUUUCAGUGUAUCAAGAACUUUAUCUUGGUAUUUCUUGAUUUAAAAAGAAAAAGGUUUUUCUUUUCCUUUUUUGAUAGAUUUGGGGGGGUGCAACUUUCUUGAGCCCCUGAAUGUUUUCUAGGCACUGUUCUGUCCUCUUGUGUGUGGUUAUUGUAGAUCGAGAACUGUUCCCACUGUUCCCUCUCCAGCCUUAUUUGUCAUUUUCUUUAUUAAACAUUUGUUAAUCUGUGAGCCCAGUAAGAGUAUCUGAAGCUGUAUUUGUGCCUGCAUUCCCUCUUUUCUCCUCCCCUGCAUUCCACCCCACCCCCUCCUCACCCCUGCACUGGGCCUUCGCUUUUCUCUUUCUCCAGCCAGCUACUGCAAUUAUCUGCAUUUAGUUCUUAGCUUGCUUUUCUUUCCUGGACCUUGGAUCUUCUACCAUCCCGCCUGUUUAACUACUUAACAACAACAACAACAACAGAAAAAUCCAAAUUUGUCUCUGCUCCCGACUUUGGGAGAUUUUGCAGCUUGAGCUGGGGAGAAAGUGGUGGGUCUUACAGGAACGUGCGCUGCCUGAGUGCUUUAGAUUUUGAAAUAAACUUUCAGACGUGCAGAGAGGCUGUAAGUAAGUACGACUGGCGAGUUUUCCUUCCCCUGAGCUGCUGGAAUGCACACGGCCCAGUGCACACCCACUCCCGGCUACAAGUCAUUUACCGCUUAAUGAGGGGCGUGCAUUGAGAGAUCUGCUUCAGCAAUUUUGCCAUUGUGUAGGUCUCGUGGUUUGCACUCACACAGACCUGCGUGACGGAGGUCAGUCACUGCAGAUGCCCCCCUGCAGUUGGGAGUCAGCACAUGAAACUACUACUGCCACAAGACGACAUGUUGCUUUGUAAUAAACUGUUUCUUAAGCAGAGUAAUCUGCAUCAUGCUGAAAAACACCUGAUAGUGAAUACAAAGACCAGUAUACCAUCCGUACUUUAAUAUGACUGGUAGUGCUCUAGGUGUGUUUACACCAGCGUCGCCAUGGAUGUGUGAGCAUUGCUAUGUGAUUCCACCUGACCUCCACUAUCAGGCUGGCAUGUAAUAGGAACUCUCACCCCUCCUUGCAGUCUUAAGGGACCCUUGGUCGUUGCAUACUCUAUUUGACUACGUAGAUAUAUGACACAUGACUGUACUUUAUCGUGUAUUACUUAUAAGCUGGUGUGUCACUGACAUUACCGUAACUACCAUCAUGAUCCAGGUCAUCCUGCUGCCUCCUUACCUCAGGUUGUGUCUAGGUCUAGCCAGCUGCCUAUCAUGUCCUUUGCAGUGAAAGUUCAUUCAGUUUAGUCACUUCAUGUGCUUAGUCACACCAUCUCCUGGGUCUCCUUCAGUCGGAAGUGACUGUCCCAGGCUGUCCAUGGACUCUCUUGAAGAUCACAGGCCAGUCAUUUUGCAGAAUGCCCUUCAGUUUGGAUAUAUGUGAUGUUCCCUCUGUCUUUGGUGGUUGUGUGUUGUUGGCAGGAAGGUCCUAAGGUUGCAAGGUACAAGGUGAUGCAGGUUUUAAAGUCUGCUUCCUUGUUGAUAAUGCUGUGUUUGACUUACUUUGAUUCAAGUAGAGUCUUCCAGGCCAGGAAAGUGUCCCUUUUAGAGUGAUAAGGCUGUUCUGGAGGAUAUUUUUGAGGUGAAUCCAUCCCAUUCCCUUUGAAGCAUUCAAAUGUGUUUGGUUACUAAUUCAUAUUAGUGCAGACUCUUGGUUUCCUGUUCUCUUCAGAGGCUUACAUUCCAUUACUAUAAUGACUUUGAUGUCUCUGUUGUCUUAGAUUUGGGUAGUAGGGGUUUUAAAUGGCUCCUCUUUUGUUUCGGAAAAGUUGUUGAUUUAUAGUAAACAAAUUGCAGGGAUAAGGAGAAGGCUUGGUAGGUGAGUGUGCUGUUCUGCAAGUGUGAGGACCCGAGUUCUAAUCUCCAGCAUCCAUGUGGAAAGCUGGCCAUGGCUGUAACAUUAACACUGGGGAGUGGGGACAGGUGACUCCCCAGUGCUCCCUGGCCAGCCAGCCUUGCUGAAAGAGCAAGCUUCUGGUUGAGUGAGGAACCCUUCUGGUUGAAUGAAUGACCCUUCUGCAGCCAAUAAGGUGGAGAGUGGGAGAGGCAGACUCCUAAUCUCCUGCUGUGGUUUCCACAUGCAUGCACAUGGGUAUGCACACCCAUAUAUCCACAAGCUUGCACACUCACAUACCAUUACCACCACCUCCCCCCCAAAAGAUAACGCUUAAAGAAAAAAAAAGGAGUAUGCAUACCCGAAUCUGUCCUGAAGUUCCCUAAAGACCAAAAAAGAAAAAUGGACAGAGUUGGUCUAUGGUGGCCAAGGCAUAGCGUUUGAAAUGGGUAAUUACAAAAUGCCAGGCUGAGACCUUUAGGAGGCCUGGCUAACUGAUUAAGAGUUCAUCAGCCAAAUUAAGCUGUGGGUGUUUAUUUUAAGGGAGUGACAUGACCAGACAUUUAGCUGCCAGAACCAAGUGACUUUGUUUUAUUAGUUUUGCCUCCAAGGAAUUUGCAUGGUGGACAUCCUGACCCUGUUCCUACCAUGAUAUCCUAUCAUAAGGCUAGCGGGUCAGUGAUGCCGUGGGCUCUGGGAAUGUGACAGGGGCAAGUGUUUCCUGAUUGUACGGCUUUAUUGUUCAAAGACUCUGAAGAUACCAUGGUGUAGUAGACCACUGUGUUUGCUGUGAGCUCUGCCAGCCAGCAUGAAAUCCCAGUUCCAUCCCAUUCCCUUUGAGCAAGUCAUUUACAUCUAGGCCUGACUUAAAGAUAGGUCCCCAGCUUUAAAGUCUAGAUUUGAAAAUCCAGCUGCUGUGGCCUUGAGCUUAAUCAAAACACAGUCCAUACAGCGUUUGGGCUACAGUAAACAAGCAGGCGGUCCCAUUAGCUUACUGCUAAGGCAAAUGACCAAACUUUGUAAGUUUCUUUAGGCAAGGUCAGAAAGUUUGCUUACCCAAACCUGGAAUCCAGGGCUUGGGAGAUAGCUGAGUUGCUGUGAAGGUGUGAAAUACUGGGCUCAAUGCCCAGCCCUCAGGUUUUAUGAAGAAAUAUAGGUGUGUGUGUGUAUACAUAUAUAAGAUAAGGAGUCAGGCAUGGUGGCAUUUGCUAAUAAUCCUAGCAUUGGGGAAGUGAGACAGAAAGAUCCCUGAGUGUGCUGACUAGUCAGUGUAGCCCAUCGCUGAGCCCCAGGUUCCAGAGAGAGACUCUGCCCCAAAUUGGAACAAGUUGUGGGUCGGUGAGAUGAUUUAGUGGGCACAUAGAGGCACUUGCUGGAAAGCAUGAUGACCUGAAUUCUAGCUCCAGCAUCCACAUGAUGGGAGAGAACUAGUUCCCACAGUUGUCCCCUGACCUCCCCACUCAUGCUUUUGGCACCCCCCCCCACACACAUAAAUAAAUACAGAAAUAAAUAAUAGAAUAAAAUGUUUUAAAAAACAAAGCAAACAGAAAACCGAGGUAGGCAGCUCUCAAGUAAUGCACCCACACAUCCUGGGAAUUCUACUCAGUCUAACUGUAAGGCUUUUAAUAUUUUCCAGCAUCGUUUCUCAGCAUCCACGUGUCAGAUUAGUAGAUCUGGGGUUUGUAUUGUAUUAGAUGGUUUAAUUUCCAGAGUUGCUGACUGAGGACUGUGGAGAUGGUUAAGGCAGUAAAAGUGUUUGUUGCACAAAUAAAAAGCAAGACAUGCUUGUAGUGACAUGCAGCUGUAAUCCUAGCAUGGGGGGCUGAGAUAGAGACCUUAUGAUUUGCUGGUCCACACGUCUGGCCAGUUAGUGAGCACUAUAUUGAGUGGGAACCUCUAUAAUAAUAAUAAUAAUAAUAAUAAUGAUGAUGAUGAUGAUGAUGAUGUGGUUUUUCAUCAAAAUGGCUCUUAAAGUAAAGAAGGAAUCCGCUGCCUCCCCCAAAGCCAAAGCAAAGGCCUUGAAACCCAAGAAGGCAGUGCUGAGAGCCGUCCACAGCCGCUGAAUGCAGACCUGCGUGGUACCGACUUUCUGGCAGCCCAAGACCCUGCUCUUCCAGAGGCAGCACACAUGCUCUUGUAAGAGCCUGCCCAGGAGAGGCAAGCUGACUGCUACAACAGCAUCAACUUUCCUCUGAACACUGACUCAGCCACAGAGAAGACAGAAGAAACAACACACUUGAAUCCGUCAUGGGUGGCAAAGCCAGCAGGCACCAGAUCAAACAGGCCGUGAAGAAACUAGGUAGUUGAUGUGGCCAAAGUCAAUACCCGGAUAAGGCCUAAGUCAAUGGCCUGAUAAGGCCUGAUAAGGCAUAGGUCUGGCUGCCUCCUGAUUAUGAUGCUCUGGAUGUUGCCAACCAGGUUGGGAUCAAUUAAACAGUGUUCAGCAGAUAGUUCUAAAGACACAGGGUUGUUUGUUUGUUUGUUUGUUUGUUUAUUUAUUUUUUACCAUUGUGGUUGUUAGAAUAAGUAUGGCCCCAUAGAUUCAUGAGUUGAAUGCUUGGUCAUAGGGAGUAACACUACUAGGAGAUGUGGCCUUAUUGGAGGAGGUGUGGCCUUGUUAGAGGAAGUGUAUCACCGGGGAGGUGGGGCUUUGAGGUCUAAUGUAUGCUUAAGUUCAGCUCAGUGCAGAGCUCAGUGUCCUGGCUGCCUUCUGAUGAAGAUGUAGAACUCUCAGUUCCUUUCCAUCACCGUGUCUGCCUGCGUGCUACCAUGGUUCCCACCAUGAUGAUAAUGGACUAACCUCUGGCACUGUAAGCCAGCCUCACUUAAAUGUUUUUCUUUAGAAGAGUUGCCUGGGUCAUGGUGUCUCUCCAUAGCAAUAAAACCCUAACUAUGGCAACCAUUAAGAAAAAAAGGCGGAAGGGUCUAGAGAGAUAGCGCAGCAAUUGGGACUAUUCAGUGCUCUUGCAGAGGACCUGUGUUCUAGUCUCAGCAUCUGCAGAGCAGCUCACACCUGUCUGUAACUCGAGUUCUAGGGGAUGUGACGCCUCUUCCCGUCACCAUAGGCUUCUGCACACUUGACACACAUAAACUCAUGUAGGCACACACGUGUGGACAUAAAAAAGGAAGUAUCUGAGGCAGAUGCUUGACAUUAGCCUCUGGCCUCUAUACAUGCACCUCCAUGUAUAUCCACACGCCUGUGCACACACACAAAGAAUGGCUGAUUGUUUUGUUGCUGAGUUCCAUUAAAAAACUUUGCCAUGAAUUGUGGGUUGGAAUCAGGACAGAAUUUCUCAGUUUCUAAGAUAGCCCUAGACACCUGCCACCUUGUACUAUGCCCCCAUGCAAAGCAGCCUUUUCAACACUUGACAGUAAAGUCAGAGCAUCGCUGAACUCUAAAGAAGGUUAACACGCAUGCCUCCAGUAUGGAAUAUCCAGCCAAGACUUAAUUCUGUAUGUGAAAAUGAACACACAUACCCAUCACAUUAAUAUGCAUUUUUUUGUCUUUAAUAGUAAAAUCAUAUGUAUACCAAAGAAUGAUUAAAAAUACAAAUUUUCAUUAUUUUUUAUCAGAAACUGUUUGACUUGGGUACCUGUUUUAUAUACCAGCAAAUCCACUAUAACAUAAAUAUUUCUUGAGUGGAAAACUUUAAGCCUGAUUUGGACAUGAGUUCUUCCCAGAGUGUCCAUAGUGGCGUCUGCACUAGCCAGCCUUUGCAUUCCUACAACAGGCAAGACACAAGUUGAGAAAAAUAGCUUAAAACAGGAAAGCUUUGUUUCAGCCCUCGGUUUCAGAGGUUUCCAGCUGUUUUUGCCUAGUUCUAUUGUUUCUGGGAGAAGGGUGAGUGAUGGAGAAAGGGCUUAAUAGAAGAGCCCACUUGCCUUAAGGCAACUAAGAAGCAGGGACAGCCAGGGACCAGGGACAAGAUACACAUUCCAAAGGCUUGUCCCCAGCAACCUCUCCCAGAGGAGGCCCCAUCUCUGAGCCUCACCAGCAGCAGACUGCAGCACCAGCUGGGAACCACGUCUCCAACACCCACAGGAGUCUGUGAAACAACCCACUUUAAAGCCCUUGCAGCCCUUAUUCUUGGAAGUUGAUGCUCUGAUCCAAAAUUUUUACAGAAAUACAGAGAGCUUAGACUAUCAGAAGUAAUUGUGAAGAAAACAUUAAUACUAGACCAAUGCUACCAGAUUUAAAGGUUUAUUAUAAAUCUGCAGUAAUUUAACAGUGUAAUACUGAUUUAAAACAAACAAACAAACAAAAAAUCCCACCAAGAUAAAUGGUUGAGUGGAGCAGACGAGAGCACUGGUGGGUGUAGAACACUUGACAGUCAUGGUCUACUAGUGAAUGUGUCAAGGGCUUCAAAUGUCUUAGAAACUGGCAGAUUCUACUGAGGACAAACAUAAGCUAUAUAUAGUCCCUUUUUAAAGAAAGAAAGGCAGAGUCUGGCCAAGCUAUAAACAUGUUUCCCAGUUCUGGUCCAGGUCAAGGAUGUGUGCUGUGGCUGUGUUGGCAGUGGUUCACAGCAUCACACAGCAUCGCGUGGGGACAGCAGGCAGUCAUGCUCAUCCUCCGAGUCUUGGUCACUCUCCUACAAAUCCACCAGUGUUCAAUGGCUGGGGCGUCACCUUGAUGACCUUAUAUAACCCUUGUCAACCUUCAAACACGAUCAGAUUACGUUUCUGCCCUCUUAAUACCUCAGAGGGAAUUAGACUCCAGCAAGAGCUGUUGAGGGCACAAAACCUUCACAUUAUAAAACAGCCAUGCGUAUAAUUGAGCAGUGUUAGUCUCAUGUGUAGUUACUCAGAGUUUUAUUCCUAAGAGCCCCAAACUAGAAACAACAGUUAUAAGGGGAAUCUUUUUUUUCCUACUAAAUUACAGAUUUUUCAAGUUAGCACAGGCUGGACAAGAUGUCCACUGGCACAGCAGCGUAGGGUAACACACUGAUUUCUAUGUACCUGGAGACUGUUGUCCGAGAGAGUGUCAUGGUUUGCAUCUGAAAGGUCUCCACAGACUCGUGUCUUGAACACUUGGUUCCCAGUUCAUGGCACAAUUUUGAGAGGUUCUGGACACUGGGAGUUGAGAGAUAGAGUCACUGGCAGAAAUAAAUCAUGCCGAAGGGCCUGCCCCAAAGUUUAUGUCCAGCCCUGCUUCUUGCUGCAUGCUAUUUCCUGUCCUCCUAUGAUGGGAACACCCUCAACCAUACUUACCAUUACUGUAGACUGAGCUGUCCCAGCAAGCCUUCCCCACCGUGACUGAGGGGAACCCUCCGAGACCCUGAACCAAAGGGAAGAAUUCCUCUCUUGGGUUUUCUCUCUUGGGUGUUGUCACAGUGGUGUGAGCGCUAACUAGUACCAUGGCUCAGUGGGGGCCAGACAGUGGAUUAUCCAGCUGGGAAGAAAAUUAAUUCCCCAAGUAAGGUAAGCCAGAUUCCUACUUCAUACUAUGAAAACUGCAAGGUCAUGCUUGACAUCCCAUUUAGGAAGUUAAGGCAGGAGGACCAGGAGUUCAAGAUCAGCCUCAGCUGUGAGACCUCCCAUCUCUAAUACCAACUAAAUGAAAUAACAGACAAAACCAAAACAAACAAGCAAACAAAAAAUAGAAAAUAACAACAGCAAAAACAAGCCCUGUCCCCCCAAAACCCAAACUCUAAAGUGACUAGAAUCUAAAAUGUAAAGAGAAGAAAACUAGUGGGAAACAAAAUACUUUAUGUAUUUGGUGAGGACGGAUCCUCCUGUCUCCCUCCCCUUUCCUCCUCCCCUUCCUCCCUUCCUCCCCCUGUUUGUGUUGUUUAAGGACAGGCUUGUGUGUAGCCCAGGAUGGUUUUGAAUGAACUUACUACAUAGCCAAGGAUGACCUAGAACUCCCAACCCCUCUGUUUCAACCUUCUGAGCACUGGCAUUUCGGGUGUGUACCCCAUACCUGCUCAGAAAAGGACUUUGUAAGGCACAGACUCUCUCCACUGAAAAUCUCCAC
Mus musculus (house mouse) is the source of this 20466-nucleotide long non-coding RNA. RefSeq annotates it as predicted gene, 35956. The record is from RefSeq and is a predicted model, not a curated record. NCBI's taxonomy places the organism in Eukaryota, Metazoa, Chordata, Mammalia, Rodentia, Muridae. The transcript is spliced from 2 exons.